Molecule: non-coding RNA, 21 nt
Organism: Caenorhabditis elegans
Lineage: Eukaryota; Metazoa; Nematoda; Chromadorea; Rhabditida; Rhabditidae
Source: Ensembl
UAUAUGUAUGACAUCGAGUGU